UUGCUUCAGCACCACAUGUACUAAAAUUGAAACAAUACAGCCCCUACACAAGGAUGACAUGCAAAUUGGUGAAGUAUUCCAUAUUGUU
Molecule: small nuclear RNA, 88 nt
Filed under: Notamacropus eugenii (tammar wallaby)
Lineage: Eukaryota; Metazoa; Chordata; Mammalia; Diprotodontia; Macropodidae
Source: RNAcentral